RNAcentral lists this small nucleolar RNA (122 nucleotides) under Triticum dicoccoides. Its description in RNAcentral is "snoRNA SNORD14". It matches the Rfam family "Small nucleolar RNA SNORD14". Rfam says of the family: U14 small nucleolar RNA (U14 snoRNA) is required for early cleavages of eukaryotic precursor rRNAs. In yeasts, this molecule possess a stem-loop region (known as the Y-domain) which is essential for function. Lineage: Eukaryota; Viridiplantae; Streptophyta; Magnoliopsida; Poales; Poaceae. The record is from RNAcentral.
UGGCAGUGAUGACGAAUUUUAAGGCUUGUUUCUCAAAACAUUCGCAGUCGCCGCCUAAGAGCUUUCGCCCAGCCAGGCUUGAGAGCUAAUGCUGCUAAUUCCUUCCUUGGAUGUCUGAGCCU